RNAcentral lists this ribosomal RNA (893 nucleotides) under Ralstonia sp. RNAcentral's name for it is "bacterial SSU rRNA". It matches the Rfam family "Bacterial small subunit ribosomal RNA", at positions 37 to 927 of the family's 1533-position model. The record is from RNAcentral. Lineage: Bacteria; Pseudomonadati; Pseudomonadota; Betaproteobacteria; Burkholderiales; Burkholderiaceae.
CCGGGGCGCUGCUUAACAUGCAGUCGACGGCAGCAUGAUCUAGCUUGCUAGAUUGAUGGCGAGUGGCGAACGGGUGAGUAAUACAUCGGAACGUGCCCUGUAGUGGGGGAUAACUAGUCGAAAGAUUAGCUAAUACCGCAUACGACCUGAGGGUGAAAGUGGGGGACCGCAAGGCCUCAUGCUAUAGGAGCGGCCGAUGUCUGAUUAGCUAGUUGGUGAGGUAAAGGCUCACCAAGGCGACGAUCAGUAGCUGGUCUGAGAGGACGAUCAGCCACACUGGGACUGAGACACGGCCCAGACUCCUACGGGAGGCAGCAGUGGGGAAUUUUGGACAAUGGGCGAAAGCCUGAUCCAGCAAUGCCGCGUGUGUGAAGAAGGCCUUCGGGUUGUAAAGCACUUUUGUCCGGAAAGAAAUGGCUCUGGUUAAUACCUGGGGUCGAUGACGGUACCGGAAGAAUAAGGACCGGCUAACUACGUGCCAGCAGCCGCGGUAAUACGUAGGGUCCAAGCGUUAAUCGGAAUUACUGGGCGUAAAGCGUGCGCAGGCGGUUGUGCAAGACCGAUGUGAAAUCCCCGAGCUUAACUUGGGAAUUGCAUUGGUGACUGCACGGCUAGAGUGUGUCAGAGGGGGGUAGAAUUCCACGUGUAGCAGUGAAAUGCGUAGAGAUGUGGAGGAAUACCGAUGGCGAAGGCAGCCCCCUGGGAUAACACUGACGCUCAUGCACGAAAGCGUGGGGAGCAAACAGGAUUAGAUACCCUGGUAGUCCACGCCCUAAACGAUGUCAACUAGUUGUUGGGGAUUCAUUUCCUUAGUAACGUAGCUAACGCGUGAAGUUGACCGCCUGGGGAGUACGGUCGCAAGAUAAACCAGAAGUGUAGUAGAGAGCAGCAGA